Molecule: long non-coding RNA, 494 nt
Organism: Taeniopygia guttata (zebra finch)
Lineage: Eukaryota; Metazoa; Chordata; Aves; Passeriformes; Estrildidae
Source: RefSeq, a predicted model, not a curated record
CCCGGUGCUGCCGGCGCUGCGGGGCGGAGCGGCCGCGCACGGAAACCCGGCCGGGAAGAGCCGCCUUGUUCCCUGCCUUGUUCCCCGCCGUGUUCCCCGUUCCCCGAGCUGUUCCCGCAUACACACCGGGCGGCUGGAGCGGGAGAGCCUCCUCCACAUGCCGGGAAUGCCGGGGAGCAGGCCCGGCGGGGAAGCGCCGCCCCGGAGCGCGGGAAGGAGAGUGGCCGAGCUGCUCCCUCACGCAGGGCAGGGUGGAAAGAGUCAGCACAUCUCUCUUACCUACAGUACAGCUGGCUCUCUGAUCUGCACUUAAUCUGACCCAAGAUAGCUGUAAGCAGGAGAGAGCUGGGGAUUCAGAAACAUUGUAUGGGAGACAUGGAUAAAGCGCUGGAUCUACACCUUGUUAAUCAAAGCAUCACCUAAUCUGGACAGCUGGAAGUGCAGCACUGAGGGCUAUAUUUUAAGAUUAUUAAAUAAAACGAGUCUCGAGUCUC